UACAGAGGUGGCAAGCGUUGUUCGGAAUUACUGGGCGUAAAGGGCGCGUAGGCGGUCUUAUAAGUCUCGUGUGAAAUCCCUCGGCUUAACUGAGGAACUGCACGGGAUACUGCAAGACUUGAGUUCGGGAGAGGGAAGCGGAAUUCCGGGUGUAGCGGUGAAAUGCGUAGAUAUCCGGAGGAACACCGGUGGCGAAGGCGGCUUCCUGGACCGACACUGACGCUGAGGCGCGAAAGCUAGGGGAGCAAACGGG
This 253-nucleotide ribosomal RNA is filed under the name uncultured bacterium. Its description in RNAcentral is "partial 16S ribosomal RNA". It matches the Rfam family "Bacterial small subunit ribosomal RNA", at positions 524 to 776 of the family's 1533-position model. The record is from RNAcentral.